ACUAUAGGGGAACAGAGGAACUAUAGGGGAGCAGGUUAACUAUAGGGGAACAGAGGAACUAUAGGGGAACAGAGGAACUAUAGGGGAGCAGAGGAACUAUAGGGGAAUAGAGGAACUAUAGGGGAGCAGAUUAACUAUAGGGGAGCAGUUGAACUAUAGGGAGCAGAGGAACUAUAGGGGAGAAGAUGAACUAUAGGGGACUAGAUUAACUAUAGGGGAACAGAGGAACUAUAGGGGAAUAGAGGAACUAUAGGGGAGCAGAUUAACUAUAGGGGAACAGAGGAACUAUAGGGGAGAAGGUUAACUAUAGGGGAACAGAGGUACUAUAGCGGAGCAGAGGAACUAUAGGGGAGCAGAGGAACUAUAGGGGAGCAGAGGAACUAUAGGGAGUAGAGGAACUAUAGGGGAGCAGAGGAACUAUAGGGGAACAGAGGAACUAUAGGGGAACAGAGGAACUAUAGGGGAACAGAGGAACUAUAGGGGAGCAGAUGAACUAUAGGGAGCAGAGAAACAAUAGGGGAACAGAGGAACUAUAGGGGAGCAGAGGAACUAUAGGGGAGCAGAGGAACUAUAGGGGAGCAGAUUAACUAUAGGGGAGCAGAGGAACUAUAGGGGAACAGAGGAACUAUAGGGAGCAGAGAAACAAUAGGGGAGCAGAGGAACUAUAGGGGAACAGAGGAACUAUAGGGGAACAGAGGAACUAUAGGGGACUAGAUGAACUAUAGGGGAACAGAGGAACUAUAGGGGAGCAGAGGAACUAUAGGGGAGCAGAGGAACUAUAGGGGAGCAGAGGAACUAUAAGGGACAGGAUUAACUAUAGGGGAACAGAGGAACUAUAGGGGAGCAGAGGAACUAUAGGGGAGCAGAUUAACUAUAGGGGAACAGAGGAACUAUAGGGGAACAGAGGAACUACAGGGGAGCAGAUUAACUAUAGGGGAACAGAGGAACUAUAGGGGAACAGAGGAACUAUAGGGGAGCAGAGGAACUAUAGGGGAGCAGAGGAACUAUAGGGGAACAGAGGAACUAUAGGGGAACAGAGGAACUAUAGGGGAGCAGAUUAACUAUAGGGGAACAGAGGAACUAUAGGGGAGCAGAGGAACUAUAGGGGAGCAGAGGAACUAUAGGGGAACAGAGGAACUAUAGGGAGCAGAGGAACUAUAGGGGAACAGAGGAAC
Molecule: long non-coding RNA, 1175 nt
Filed under: Salmo salar (Atlantic salmon)
Lineage: Eukaryota; Metazoa; Chordata; Actinopteri; Salmoniformes; Salmonidae
Description: lncRNA (ENSSSAG00000084791.1)
Source: RNAcentral